AGUGAACGCUGGCGGCAGGCCUAACACAUGCAAGUCGAACGGCAGCACAGUAAGAGCUUGCUCUUACGGGUGGCGAGUGGCGGACGGGUGAGGAAGACAUCGGAAUCGACUUUGUGGGGGGGGAUAACGAAGGGAAACUUACGCUAACACGGCAUACGACCUACGGGGGAAAGCAGGGGAUCUUCGGACCUGGCGCACUUGAAGGAGGCGAUGUCGGAUUAGCUAGUUGGCGGGGUAAAGGCCCACCAAGGCGACGAUCCGUAGCUGGGCUGAGAGGUGGAUCAGCCACACUGGAACUGAGACACGGUCCAGACUCCUACGGGAGGCAGCAGUGGGGAAUAUUGGACAAUGGGCGCAAGCCUGAUCCAGCCAUACCGCGUGGGUGAAGAAGGCCUUCGGGUUGUAAAGCCCUUUUGUUGGGAAAGAAAAGCAGCAGGUUAAUACCCCGCUGUUCUGACGGUACCCAACGAGUAAGCACCGGCUAACUUCGUG
This 492-nucleotide ribosomal RNA is filed under the name uncultured bacterium. RNAcentral describes it as "partial 16S ribosomal RNA". It matches the Rfam family "Bacterial small subunit ribosomal RNA", at positions 29 to 507 of the family's 1533-position model. The record is from RNAcentral.